UUUCCGUAGGUGAACCUGCGGAAGGAUCAUUACAGAAAGUAAACGCGGGUCGAACCGCGAACUUCUAAACCUUUGACGAUUGACUCAUGUUGCCUCGGCGGGCUCGCCCGCCAGAGGAUACAUCAAAACUCCUGUUUUAAUGGUGUUGUCUGAGCUACAAGCAACGAAUCAAAACUUUCAACAACGGAUCUCUUGGUUCUG
This 201-nucleotide unclassified non-coding RNA is filed under the name soil metagenome. Its description in RNAcentral is "partial contains small subunit ribosomal RNA, internal transcribed spacer 1, and 5.8S ribosomal RNA". The record is from RNAcentral.